GUGAGGAAUAUUGGUCAAUGGGCGGGAGCCUGAACCAGCCAAGUCGCGUGAAGGAAGAAGGAUCUAUGGUUCGUAAACUUCUUUUGCAGGGGAAUAAAGUGCAGGACGUGUCCUGUUUUGUAUGUACCCUGAGAAUAAGGAUCGGCUAACUCCGUACCAGCAGCCGCGGUAAUACGGAGGAUCCGAGCGUUAUCCGGAUUUAUUGGGUUUAAAGGGUGCGUAGGUGGUUUGAUAAGUCAGCGGUGAAAGUUUGCAGCUUAACUGUAAAAAUGCCGUUGAAACUGUCGGACUUGAGUGUAAAUGAGGUAGGCGGAAUGCGUGGUGUAGCGGUGAAAUGCAUAGAUAUCACGCAGAACUCCGAUUGCGAAGGCAGCUUACUAAGCUACAACUGACACUGAAGCACGAAAGCGUGGGGAUCAAACAGGAUUAGAUACCCCGGUAGUCC
Molecule: ribosomal RNA, 445 nt
Filed under: uncultured bacterium
Lineage: Bacteria
Description: partial 16S ribosomal RNA
Rfam family: Bacterial small subunit ribosomal RNA
Source: RNAcentral